Molecule: transfer RNA, 77 nt
Filed under: Microbacterium sp. Bi121
Lineage: Bacteria; Bacillati; Actinomycetota; Actinomycetes; Micrococcales; Microbacteriaceae
Description: tRNA-Arg
Source: RNAcentral
UCCGGGUGGGGGCUGCUGUCGGAUCGCACUGUGACGCUGCGGGCGUCGGGGCGCCGGUUCGAGUCCGGCAGGCGGGU